This 470-nucleotide ribosomal RNA is filed under the name Acanthurus leucosternon. RNAcentral describes it as "partial small subunit ribosomal RNA". It matches the Rfam family "Bacterial small subunit ribosomal RNA", at positions 735 to 1409 of the family's 1533-position model. Lineage: Eukaryota; Metazoa; Chordata; Actinopteri; Acanthuriformes; Acanthuridae. The record is from RNAcentral.
UUAAACUAACUGAACCCACGAAAGCUAGGGCACAAACUGGGAUUAGAUACCCCACUAUGCCUAGCCCUAAACAUUGAUGAUAACUUACAAUUAUUAUCCGCCUGGGAACUACGAGCACCAGCUUAAAACCCAAAGGACUUGGCGGUGCUUUAGACCCACCUAGAGGAGCCUGUUCUAGAACCGAUAACCCCCGUUCAACCUCACCCUUCCUUGUUCCUCCCGCCUAUAUACCACCGUCGUCAGCUUACCCUGUGAAGGGCUAAUAGUAAGCAAAACUGGCAAAGCCCAAAACGUCAGGUCGAGGUGUAGCGCAUGGAAGGGGAAGAAAUGGGCUACAUUCACUAACCCAGUGCACACGAAUGACACCCUGAAACACGUGUCUGAAGGAGGAUUUAGCAGUAAGUAGAAAAUAGAGUGUUCUGCUGAAACUGGCCCUGAAGCGCGCACACACCGCCCGUCACUCUCCCCGA